This 1560-nucleotide long non-coding RNA is filed under the name Homo sapiens (human). RNAcentral describes it as "HSALNT0039383". The record is from RNAcentral. Lineage: Eukaryota; Metazoa; Chordata; Mammalia; Primates; Hominidae.
UUUACAGCCUUUCCUGGAAUAGAGCUCCUCCAUCUGCAGUACUGCUUGGGAGUGCCUUGUGGUCUCUCCCUUCAAAAUCCAGCCUUAAAUUCCCCUCCUCCAGGAAGCAUACCUUGACUUAACCAAACCUCCCUGGUUGAAUUUUUUGAAUGACUAAACCUGAAUUAGGCUGAUGAACUGGUCAGCACCCUUUGAGAAGCAGGUUUGUUGGGCUGUGAGGAAGGGCUCUGGCCCCAGCAUUUCCUCUCCAGUCUACCCAUCCUCUUUUUGGACAACCUGAUGUACACGUUAGGACUCCUAGGACAUCAAGUGGUAACUCAUCAUUAUCACCAUCACACAGCAGCUGGAACCAGCAGCCUCACCAGGCCUUUCUCCUUUAAUAAUGACAAACAUGGUGUGCAGUCUGGGCCACUUAAUCCUGUUCUGCAGAUGGGGACUCUGAGACAUAAAGAGGUAAAGAUCAUGCAGGUGACAAAGCUAGCUGAAGAUUAGUAUUAUGAGAUAUGAGAAUAGUAACUGAAGGGUUGAUUUGUAAAUGUGAAAAAUUGGAAAUCAGCCUUGAUUUCCAACAAUAGGGUAUUGAUGUGUAAUACAACCACACAGUAGGGUAUUGUAUAGCGACUAAGAAUGAUACAGCAGUAUUUGUUGACCUGGGAACAUUUUUCACAAUAUGCUUUAAAAAAAGAUAGAUAAGUGCUUAUUAAUAAUAUAGGUACAGGGACUCAAGUCAAAGUGGGGAUAUAUUCUAAACUCUGGCGACCAAUUUCCUAAACCAUGUAGUUUUUGCUAUAGAAAACAUCUAGCUGUGGGUCUACUUGUAAUACUCAGUAUAUUACCUUAUUUCAUAUGCCAUUUAUUUUUUCUUUAUGAAAAUGGUGUCAUUCAUCUUUAUUAAUGUAGUUGAAAUUCAUAAACUUUCUGUGUGAAUCAUUUAAUCAAGAAAAAUGUGUUACGGGGAUAGAUUUUAUAUAAAUGAGAAUGAAAUGAAAUGUUUCAUUAAAAUAUGUAAAAGUUGCCCAGUAUAUCUUAAGGAGAAAUCGUAUGUGUAUAAUAUUAUUGUAUUUUUGUAAGAUAAAACAAAUGUUGUAAGACCUUAAAAAUAUUGUUAGGAGAAAAAAAUACACGUAUGCAUAGAAAAAUGUCUAGAAGGAUAAAUGCUAAAAUGUUCAUCCUGGACCUCUGCAAGAUGGGGCUAUGGGUGAUUUUUUACCCCUUCCUUUAUUGUUCACCUGUAUUUUCUAAUUUUUCAAUAACGUUCAUGUGUUACUUAUUUAGAAAAGACAGGAGAUGAAUGUUUAAAGUGAUGGAUAUGGUAAUUACCCUGACUUGAUCAUGAUACAAUGUAUAUAUGCAUUGAAACAUCACACUGUACCCCAUAAACAUGUAUGGCUAUUAUGUAUUAGUUAUAAAUAAAAUAUUAAUAAGAAAUAAAAAGAUAAGGGGGGUACUGGGCUGGGAGUAAGGAGACUGCAUUCUGACAGCAACUCUGCCUCUAACUGACUGUGUGAUCCUGGGCAAGUCCUUUCCUUUCUGGUUUUCGAGUCUUCAUCUGUAACACGA